GACGACGGCUGGCGGCGUGCCUAACACAUGCAAGUCGAGCGGAGUCGAUCGACGGAAGCCUUCGGGCGGAAGAUGGUUGACUUAGCGGCGGAUGGGUGAGUAACGCGUGGGCAACCUGCCUCGAAGACCGGGAUAACAGCCCGAAAGGGCUGCUAAUACCGGAUGUGGUCAAAGAUCCGCAUGGAUUUUGAUUAAAGGGGAAACCCGUUUCGAGAUGGGCCCGCGUCCUAUCAGCUAGUUGGUGAGGUAAAAGCUCACCAAGGCGACGACGGGUAGCCGGCCUGAGAGGGUGACCGGCCACACUGGAACUGAGACACGGUCCAGACUCCUACGGGGGGCAGCAGUGGGGAAUCUUCCACAAUGGGCGAAAGCCUGAUGGAGCGACGCCGCGUGAGCGAAGAAGGCCUUCGGGUUGUAAAGCUCUGUCUGGAGGGACGAAGGAAGUGACGGUACCUCCGGAGGAAGCCACGGCUAACUACGUG
Molecule: ribosomal RNA, 482 nt
Filed under: uncultured bacterium
Lineage: Bacteria
Description: bacterial SSU rRNA
Rfam family: Bacterial small subunit ribosomal RNA
Source: RNAcentral